Ribosomal RNA from Gorilla gorilla gorilla (western lowland gorilla), 118 nucleotides. The record is from Ensembl. NCBI's taxonomy places the organism in Eukaryota, Metazoa, Chordata, Mammalia, Primates, Hominidae.
GUCUAUGGCCAUACCACCCUGAACGUGCCCAAUCUUGCCUGAUCUUGGAAGCUAAGCAGGGUUGGGCCUGGUUAGUACUUGGAUGGAAUACCCCCUGGGAAUACGGGUGCUGUAGGCA